RNAcentral lists this ribosomal RNA (497 nucleotides) under uncultured bacterium. RNAcentral describes it as "partial 16S ribosomal RNA". It matches the Rfam family "Bacterial small subunit ribosomal RNA", at positions 28 to 507 of the family's 1533-position model. The record is from RNAcentral.
GAUGAACGCUGGCGGCGUGCCUAAUACAUGCAAGUCGAGCGAACGGACGAGAAGCUUGCUUCUCUGAUGUUAGCGGCGGACGGGGGAGUAACACGUGGAUAACCUACCUAUAAGACUGGGAUAACUUCGGGAAACCGUAGCUAAUACCGGAUAAUAUUUUGAACCGCAUGGUUCAAAAGUGAAAGACGGUCUUGCUGUCACUUAUAGAUGGAUCCGCGCUGCAUUAGCUAGUUGGUAAGGUAACGGCUUACCAAGGCAACGAUGCAUAGCCGACCUGAGAGGGUGAUCGGCCACACUGGAACUGAGACACGGUCCAGACUCCUACGGGAGGCGGCAGUAGGGAAUCUUCCGCAAUGGGCGAAAGCCUGACGGAGCAACGCCGCGUGAGUGAUGAAGGUCUUCGGAUCGUAAAACUCUGUUAUUAGGGAAGAACAUAUGUGUAAGUAACUGUGCACAUCUUGACGGUACCUAAUCAGAAAGCCACGGCUAACUACGUG